UACGGGGGGGGCAAGCGUUAUUCGGAAUUACUGGGCGUAAAGCGCGCGUAGGCGGUCUAUCAAGUCGGUGGUGGAAUCCCGGGGCUUAACCCUGGAAUUGCCUUCGAAACUGAUAGGCUAGAGUUUGGUAGAGGGUGGUGGAAUUCCUAGUGUAGAGGUGAAAUUCGUAGAUAUUAGGAGGAGCACCAGUGGCGAAGGCGGCCACCUGGGCCAAUACUGACGCUAAGGCGCGAAAGCGUGGGGAGCAAACGGG
RNAcentral lists this ribosomal RNA (253 nucleotides) under uncultured bacterium. RNAcentral's name for it is "partial 16S ribosomal RNA". It matches the Rfam family "Bacterial small subunit ribosomal RNA", at positions 524 to 776 of the family's 1533-position model. The record is from RNAcentral.